This 942-nucleotide ribosomal RNA is filed under the name Escherichia coli. RNAcentral's name for it is "partial 23S ribosomal RNA". It matches the Rfam family "Bacterial large subunit ribosomal RNA", at positions 382 to 1328 of the family's 2925-position model. The record is from RNAcentral. Lineage: Bacteria; Pseudomonadati; Pseudomonadota; Gammaproteobacteria; Enterobacterales; Enterobacteriaceae.
AAAAUGCACAUACUGUGAGCUCGAUGAGUAGGGCGGGACACGUGGUAUCCUGUCUGAAUAUGGGGGGACCAUCCUCCAAGGCUAAAUACUCCUGACUGACCGAUAGUGAACCAGUACCGUGAGGGAAAGGCGAAAAGAACCCCGGCGAGGGGAGUGAAAAAGAACCUGAAACCGUGUACGUACAAGCAGUGGGAGCCUCUUAAUGGGGUGACUGCGUACCUUUUGUAUAAUGGGUCAGCGACUUAUAUUCUGUAGCAAGGUUAACCGAAUAGGGGAGCCGAAGGGAAACCGAGUCUUAACUGGGCGUUAAGUUGCAGGGUAUAGACCCGAAACCCGGUGAUCUAGCCAUGGGCAGGUUGAAGGUUGGGUAACACUAACUGGAGGACCGAACCGACUAAUGUUGAAAAAUUAGCGGAUGACUUGUGGCUGGGGGUGAAAGGCCAAUCAAACCGGGAGAUAGCUGGUUCUCCCCGAAAGCUAUUUAGGUAGCGCCUCGUGAAUUCAUCUCCGGGGGUAGAGCACUGUUUCGGCAAGGGGGUCAUCCCGACUUACCAACCCGAUGCAAACUGCGAAUACCGGAGAAUGUUAUCACGGGAGACACACGGCGGGUGCUAACGUCCGUCGUGAAGAGGGAAACAACCCAGACCGCCAGCUAAGGUCCCAAAGUCAUGGUUAAGUGGGAAACGAUGUGGGAAGGCCCAGACAGCCAGGAUGUUGGCUUAGAAGCAGCCAUCAUUUAAAGAAAGCGUAAUAGCUCACUGGUCGAGUCGGCCUGCGCGGAAGAUGUAACGGGGCUAAACCAUGCACCGAAGCUGCGGCAGCGACACUAUGUGUUGUUGGGUAGGGGAGCGUUCUGUAAGCCUGUGAAGGUGUACUGUGAGGUAUGCUGGAGGUAUCAGAAGUGCGAAUGCUGACAUAAGUAACGAUAAAGCGGGUGAAAAG